RNAcentral lists this ribosomal RNA (468 nucleotides) under uncultured bacterium. RNAcentral describes it as "partial 16S ribosomal RNA". It matches the Rfam family "Bacterial small subunit ribosomal RNA", at positions 28 to 507 of the family's 1533-position model. The record is from RNAcentral.
GACGAACGCUGGCGGCGUGCUUAACACAUGCAAGUCGAACGGAAAGGCCCUGCUCUUGCGGGGUGCUCGAGUGGCGAACGGGUGAGUAACACGUGAGUAACCUCUCCUUGUCUUUGGGAUAACAUCAGGAAACUGGGGCUCAUACCGGAUAGGAUCUCCUGCUGCACGGUGGGGGUUGGAAAGUUUCGGCGGUUGGGGAUGGACUCGCGGCUUAUCAGCUUGUUGGUGGGGUAGUGGUUGACCAAGGGUUUGACGGGUAGCCGGCCUGGGAGGGUGACCGGGCACAUUGGGCCUACGAGAGGCAGCAGUAGGCAAUGGGAGGCAGCAGUCGAGAGCAUUGCGGAGUAGGGCGAAGCCAGAUACGGAGGCGUCGGGAGCGGAAAACCGGCUUAUGGGUGGUAAACAAAUUUCGAAUGUACCGAGGAGUGAGUGACGGUAAUGGGUCAGAAAGCACCGGCUAACUACGUG